AACCGCGGGCGGCGCGGACGGCGUCGCGCGAGGGACAAGGUGCGCGAGGCGCACGCAUCUUCACCUCCACUGUCGGGAGCUGACCUGCUCCUCCCGCGUGGUUACCCGUCGCUGUAAAUGGACAGAUAAUUAUCCAAACAAAAAAAAUGCAGCAAAUAUUCUGGAUCCCCGAGCAGUCUUCUCAACUGGUACGAGGAAAAGUCAAGAAAAGCUCCUUUGAGAAGGUCUCCCUGGAAGACAGGCCCAUGAGGAGCUGAAGAAAGAAGUGGGAGGACAGAGGAGAACUCACACAAGGGGAUCAAGUUGGUGAAAACUGGAGAACCAGGCAGGGCCUGUGGAAGACUUCAUCUUGGCAGAGGGAAAAGGCUUCCAAGAAUCUUCCGGUUAUGCAAAGGCAAGGCCCAGCGGUACAUCUGGACAGAGUAGGGAUUGAGACAAGGAUGAAGGGGCUUUUCAGAAUAAAGUUGUGUUUUCCUUUGAUGAAAA
Long non-coding RNA from Gorilla gorilla gorilla (western lowland gorilla), 486 nucleotides. RefSeq lists it as uncharacterized. The record is from RefSeq and is a predicted model, not a curated record. The transcript has 5 exons. NCBI's taxonomy places the organism in Eukaryota, Metazoa, Chordata, Mammalia, Primates, Hominidae.